This 263-nucleotide unclassified non-coding RNA is filed under the name plant metagenome. Its description in RNAcentral is "partial contains small subunit ribosomal RNA, internal transcribed spacer 1, and 5.8S ribosomal RNA". The record is from RNAcentral.
UUUCCGUAGGUGAACCUGCGGAAGGAUCAUUAUUGUAUAACCGAGGAACGAGGACUGUCGCUGACCCCAAUUGCCGUGCACGCCCGACUGCCCUCACACACAUCCAUCUCACCCCGAUGUGCACCACCGCGUGGGUCCCCCUUUGGCGUGUUCGGAGGGGGGCUUACGUUUUCACACAAACUUUGUAUGCAGUGUAGAAUGUAUUUUUUGUUUUUGCGAUCACGCAAUCAAUACAACUUUCAACAACGGAUCUCUUGGCUCUC